CAAGGUUAACCGAAUAGGGGAGCCGGAGGGAAACCGAGUCUUAAUUGGGCGUUAAGUUGCAGGGUAUAGACCCGAAACCCGGUGAUCUAGCCAUGGGCAGGUUGAAGGUUGGGUAACACUAACUGGAGGACCGAACCGACUAAUGUUGAAAAAUUAGCGGAUGACCUGUGGCUGGGGGUGAAAGGCCAAUCAAACCGGGAGAUAGCUGGUUCUCCCCGAAAGCUAUUUAGGUAGCGCCUCGUGAAUUCAUCUCCGGGGGUAGAGCACUGUUUCGGCUAGGGGGCCAUCCCGGCUUACCAACCCGAUGCAAACUGCGAAUACCGGAGAAUGUUAUCACGGGAGACACACGGCGGGUGCUAACGUCCGUCGUGAAGAGGGAAACAACCCAGACCGCCAGCUAAGGUCCCAAAGUCAUGGUUAAGUGGGAAACGAUGUGGGAAGGCCCAGACAGCCAGGAUGUUGGCUUAGAAGCAGCCAUCAUUUAAAGAAAGCGUAAUAGCUCACUGGUCGAGUCGGCCUGCGCG
RNAcentral lists this ribosomal RNA (524 nucleotides) under Salmonella enterica. RNAcentral describes it as "partial 23S ribosomal RNA". It matches the Rfam family "Bacterial large subunit ribosomal RNA", at positions 641 to 1165 of the family's 2925-position model. Lineage: Bacteria; Pseudomonadati; Pseudomonadota; Gammaproteobacteria; Enterobacterales; Enterobacteriaceae. The record is from RNAcentral.